Molecule: ribosomal RNA, 233 nt
Filed under: uncultured bacterium
Lineage: Bacteria
Description: partial 16S ribosomal RNA
Rfam family: Bacterial small subunit ribosomal RNA
Source: RNAcentral
UGAGCAAUCUGCCCUUCUCUUCGGAAUAAGCGUUGGAAACGACGUCUAAUGCCGAAUACGACCUCCUUUCGCAUGAUCGGAGGUGGAAAGCUCCGGCGGAGAAGGAUGAGCUCGCGGCCUAUCAGCUAGUUGGUGUGGGUAAUGGCCCACCAUGGCGACGACGGGUAGCCGGCCUGAGAGGGUGACCGGCCACACGUGGGACUGAGACACGGCCCAGACCUCCGUACGGGAGG